GCAAAGACCUGACUUCCUGUUUAUCUUUCUGAGACGCCUCCAUUCUGAACAUGGUUAAGCUGGAACCAGGUGAGAUUCUAGCAUCAGAAUGUAACGGGAGUCACCUGUAGGUGUCUCUAUACCCAUUGUUCAGAGGGUAUAAAAAGGAAGUUGACGUGUGGUUGCUAUGGUGCUAACUGCCUGUGAGAAAGCCGGUUAGCUCAGAGAGCAGCGUGAGUUGGCUCGAGCAAAGAGUGCGGAUCACGGCAGAGUCACUUCCCUUAGGUUUCACCCCGCAUGUUAUUUUGUUUUCCCUUUUUGGCAGCCUGCAACAAGAAGACCAGGUUUGAUUCAAGCCCUGAAACAGACUGGAACCUGAACCUGUUCAGGGUGGACCCGGCCUUUGCCCAACAGUCCCUGGGUUGUGAUUUGGCGGACCCUGAAAAUGGAUGGAUGAAUGGACCCCUCCCACCACUCUCUGGAAGAACCAAAAACUGAAGAGGACUCGACUCAACUCAAAUUCAGCUGCUUAUUUGGGGUCUCUCUCUUUCAAAGUAAGCUGUGAACAGGACAGAAAAAACAGGGAAAAGUAAAGCAGAUAGUCCCACUAGUCUCUGAUUGUCAUCUCUGAAGAAGCUCCCACAGAUCCUUUCUGCUCCACAUUUACCCAGCAGACAUUUCCAAACUUCUUCAUGACUCCUGCUUCUUCAGAUUCACACUGUGGUGUCUUCUCCUCCAAACACACAAAGUUGACAGCACCUCCUCCCUUUGGUUUGUAAAAAGUCCAUCUGCAUUCUCACUGAAGUGAACCACAUCAGAGUUCAUCUGCAUUAGAACAGACACCCUCAGGGGAACCAGAGUUCUCUUGUUUGGUCCAAACCAAAGCUCAGGUGAAACGUUCACACCUGACAAACCAUGAGAGGAAACUGAUCAGACCAGGACCAGACAUGAAUGCACCCUAGAACAGUUUGGGAUACAUCCAACCCUGUCCACAGAAAUGCUCUUUAAUUUUUACAGUUCCCAUUUUAAAGUUUGUGUAUUUGGAUACCGUUUCAUUAAAGCCCAAAUUUCUGUAAAGGC
This is a long non-coding RNA of Oryzias latipes (Japanese medaka), 1059 nucleotides long. RefSeq lists it as uncharacterized. NCBI's taxonomy places the organism in Eukaryota, Metazoa, Chordata, Actinopteri, Beloniformes, Adrianichthyidae. The record is from RefSeq and is a predicted model, not a curated record.